CAAAUUAGUUUGUGUGUGAGAAGCACUUUCGCGAAGAAGAUAUUAAGAAAGCUGAUCGAUUGAUUAUUAAUGGAGCUGAAAUUAUCAUCCCUCGCGAAAGGUGGACUCUUUUGAAUGACAAUGUCAUUCCAAUAAACCCUCAGGAUUUGGAAAAGGACAUUUCUGAAGAGCAAGUUCCAAUAGUGCAAAAUGACAUUAAUAACUGACCAAUCGAAAACCUGGAUUAUACACAACCCUCGUUAAAAAUUGUUUGAGGUAACAAUUUAAAAGAAGAUUCUCAACCAGCAGGACCCCAUCAUAUGGAAUCACCAGAGAUUGUAACAGCUAAUAAUGUCAUUAUCUCGAACAUGUCUCCACCAUCAUGUGUUACACUAGAAGAGAUCCAUGCUCAUUUUCACUCAAUACUGAUCCAAGGAUGGUGUUAUUUUGCUUGUGAUGAAGA
This is a long non-coding RNA of Melitaea cinxia (Glanville fritillary), 442 nucleotides long. RefSeq lists it as uncharacterized. NCBI's taxonomy places the organism in Eukaryota, Metazoa, Arthropoda, Insecta, Lepidoptera, Nymphalidae. The transcript is spliced from 3 exons. The record is from RefSeq and is a predicted model, not a curated record.